UCCGGAGAGGGAGCCUGAGAAACGGCUACCACAUCCAAGGAAGGCAGCWGGCGCGCAAAUUACCCACUCCCGGCACGGGGAGGUAGUGACGAAAAAUAACAAUACGGGACUCUUUUGAGACCCCGUAAUUGGAAUGAGUACACUCUAAAUCCUUUAACGAGGAUCUAUUAGAGGGCAAGUCUGGUGCCAGCCGCCGCGGUAAUACCAGCUCUAAUAGCGUAUAUUAAAGUUGUUGCGGUUAAAAAGCUCGUAGUUGGAUCUCAGUUCCAGACGGGCGGUCCGCCUAACGGUGGUUACUGCUCGGCCUGAACAACCAGUCGGUUUCCCUAGAUGAUCUUCACUGGUUGUCCUGGGUGACCGGCACGUUUACUUUGAAGAAAUUAGAGUGCUCAAAGCAGGCGUAUCGCCUGAAUAAUGGUGCAUGGAAUAAUGGAAUAGGACCUCGGUUCUAUUUUGUUGGUUUUCGGAACACGAGGUAAUGAUUAAGAGGGACAGACGGGGGCAUUCGUAUUGCGGCGCUAGAGGUGAAAUUCUUGGACCGCCGCAAGACGAACUACUGCGAAAGCAUUUGCCAAGAAUGUUUUCAUUAAUCAAGAACGAAAGUUAGAGGUUCGAAGGCGAUCAGAUACCGCCCUAGUUCUAACCAUAAACGAUGCCAACCAGCGAUCCGCCUGAGUUCCUCAAAUGACUCGGCGGGCAGCUUCCGGGAAACCAAAGUCUUUGGGUUCCGGGGGAAGUAUGGUUGCAAAGCUCAAACUUAAAGAAAUUGACGGAAGGGCACCACCAGGAGUGGAGCUUGCGGCUUAAUUUGACUCAACACGGGACAACUCACCCGGCCCGGACACUGGAAGGAUUGACAGAUUAAGAGCUCUUUCUUGAUUCAGUGGGUGGUGGUGCAUGGCCGUUCUUAGUUGGUGAAGUGAUUUGUCUGGUCAAUUCCGAUAACGGGCGAGAUUCUAGCCUACUAAAUAGGCGUCCCGAUCAACUUUGUCGGGCGUUCUUCUUAGAGGGACAAGCGGCUUCUAGCCGCACGAAACAGAGCAAUAGCAGGUCUGAAAUGCCCUUCGAUGUUCGGGGCCGCACGCGUGCUACACUGAAGGAAUCAGCGUGUGUUUUCCCUGUCUGGUAGGACUGGGUAACCCGCUAAACCUCCUUCGUGAUAGGGAUAGGGGCUUGCAAUUGUUCCCCUUGAACGAGGAAUUCCCAGUAAGCACGAGUCAUAAGCUCGUGUUGAUUACGUCCCUGCCCUUUGUGCACACCGCCCGUCGCUGUUACCGAUUGAAUGAUUUAGUGAGGUCUUCGGACUGGCGCUCGGAGCGACCUUCGGCCGUGCCGACGUGCCGGAAAGAUGACCAAACUUGAUCAUUUAGAGGAAGCAAAAGUCGUAACAAGGUUUCCGUAGGUGA
RNAcentral lists this ribosomal RNA (1406 nucleotides) under Xestaspis nuwaraeliya. RNAcentral's name for it is "SSU rRNA". The record is from RNAcentral. Lineage: Eukaryota; Metazoa; Arthropoda; Arachnida; Araneae; Oonopidae.